GCAAAAGGAGCUGACUGUUGACGGAGGUGUGUGCCGCCUCCUGCGACCCCCAUCUCGCGCCUGUCUCCUGGGCCUGCCCCACCUACUUUUCCUUCACCCCAAAUGUGGAAGAACAAAUGAGCCUCUCAGGCUGGGUGGGGGUGCAGAGGCUGAGACUGGAGCAUCAGCAACCUAAUUAUCAGGCUAGAAAUCACAAAGUGUGUGUACCCCACGGCUUUGGAAUGCUUCUAUCAGACCGGCAAAAUUGAAGGAGGUAGGGAGAGAUCAGGAAGUUCUUAAAUGCUUUUUAGCUCUGUUAAUAAAACAUCAGCAAGUUGGCGAUUAAAAGUAAUAGUCUUCGAAUUCAUCAGAUUGAGCAAGAACGGACACCCUGAAUUACCUCCAACUUGAUCUUGUGUGUAAUCUAUUGCCCGGCGAUGCUAUUUUACACUUACAGUUUCAUAAAUGAAUGCAACUAGGCUAUUUAAAACAACAGUAACUCCACUGGCGACAAUACCUAUGCAAUAUUGAAAAUACGAACAACUGGAAGAAUAAAAACUAAAAGUCACUAUGAACUUCUCCGCGGCGCUGCACAAGGAACUCGGAAACCGCAAUUUCAAGACCUCUAGCAGAAAACCCUCCGCAGGCGAAGACCAGAUUGUUAUUUUUCUCUCAGCCUUCCCGCCCCGGCUAAACUGAAUUCGCGUGACUGCCGCUUGAAAUAAAAUUCUGUAAGACAA
Suricata suricatta (meerkat) is the source of this 719-nucleotide long non-coding RNA. RefSeq lists it as uncharacterized. The transcript has 2 exons. NCBI's taxonomy places the organism in Eukaryota, Metazoa, Chordata, Mammalia, Carnivora, Herpestidae. The record is from RefSeq and is a predicted model, not a curated record.